GAAAGAUGGUUUCGGCUAUCGCUUACAGAUGGGCCCGCGGUGCAUUAGCUAGUUGGUAGGGUAAUGGCCUACCAAGGCAACGAUGCAUAGCCGACCUGAGAGGGUGAUCGGCCACACUGGGACUGAGACACGGCCCAGACUCCUACGGGAGGCAGCAGUAGGGAAUCUUCCGCAAUGGACGAAAGUCUGACGGAGCAACGCCGCGUGUAUGAAGAAGGUUUUCGGAUCGUAAAGUACUGUUGUUAGAGAAGAACAAGGAUAAGAGUAACUGCUUGUCCCUUGACGGUAUCUAACCAGAAAGCCACGGCUAACUACGUGCCAGCAGCCGCGGUAAUACGUAGGUGGCAAGCGUUGUCCGGAUUUAUUGGGCGUAAAGCGCGCGCAGGCGGUCUUUUAAGUCUGAUGUGAAAGCCCCCGGCUUAACCGGGGAGGGUCAUUGGAAACUGGAAGACUGGAGUGCAGAAGAGGAGAGUGGAAUUCCACGUGUAGCGGUGAAAUGCGUAGAUAUGUGGAGGAACACCAGUGGCGAAGGCGACUCUCUGGUCUGUAACUGACGCUGAGGCGCGAAAGCGUGGGGAGCAAACA
Molecule: ribosomal RNA, 585 nt
Filed under: Listeria monocytogenes
Lineage: Bacteria; Bacillati; Bacillota; Bacilli; Caryophanales; Listeriaceae
Description: bacterial SSU rRNA
Rfam family: Bacterial small subunit ribosomal RNA
Source: RNAcentral